Molecule: ribosomal RNA, 417 nt
Filed under: uncultured bacterium
Lineage: Bacteria
Description: bacterial SSU rRNA
Rfam family: Bacterial small subunit ribosomal RNA
Source: RNAcentral
UGAGGAAUAUUGGUCAAUGGGCGCAAGCCUGAACCAGCCAUCCCGCGUGAAGGAAGAAUGCGCUACGCGUUGUAAACUUCUUUUCCAGGGGGAGAAUUUUCCUGUCGAGACAGGGAUUGACGGUACCCUGGGAAUAAGCAUCGGCUAACUCCGUGCCAGCAGCCGCGGUAAUACGGAGGAUGCGAGCGUUAUCCGGAUUUAUUGGGUUUAAAGGGUGCGUAGGCGGAUCGAUAAGUCAGUGGUGAAAUUCUGCAGCUUAACUGUAGACUUGCCGUUGAUACUGUUAGUCUUGAGUGUGGUCAAGGCAGGCGGAAUGUGUAAUGUAGCGGUGAAAUGCUUAGAUAUUACACAGAACACCGAUUGCGAAGGCAGCUUGCUGGGUCAUUACUGACGCUGAUGCACGAAAGCGUGGGGAUC